Molecule: ribosomal RNA, 259 nt
Filed under: Microbacterium sp.
Lineage: Bacteria; Bacillati; Actinomycetota; Actinomycetes; Micrococcales; Microbacteriaceae
Description: partial 23S ribosomal RNA
Rfam family: Bacterial large subunit ribosomal RNA
Source: RNAcentral
GGAUCUGACCCUAGUACGAGAGGACCGGGUUGGACGAACCUCUGGUGUGUCAGUUGUUCCGCCAGGAGCACCGCUGAUUAGCUACGUUCGGGAUGGAUAACCGCUGAAAGCAUCUAAGCGGGAAGCCGGCCUCAAGAUGAGACUUCCAUACCAUUUAUGGUGAGAGGCUCCCAGCCAGACUACUGGGUUGAUAGGCCGGAUGUGGAAGCGUAGUAAUACGUGAAGCUGACCGGUACUAAUAAGCCGAUGACUUGAUAAC